Molecule: ribosomal RNA, 171 nt
Filed under: uncultured bacterium
Lineage: Bacteria
Description: partial 16S ribosomal RNA
Rfam family: Bacterial small subunit ribosomal RNA
Source: RNAcentral
AGGCAGCAGUAGGGAAUCUUCCACAAUGGACGAAAGUCUGAUGGAGCAACGCCGCGUGAGUGAAGAAGGGUUUCGGCUCGUAAAGCUCUGUUGGUAGUGAAGAAAGAUAGAGGUAGUAACUGGCCUUUAUUUGACGGUAAUUACUUAGAAAGUCACGGCUAACUACGUGCC